CUAAGAAUCUUGCGCAAUGGGCGAAAGCCUGACGCAGCAAUUCCGCGUGGGGGACGAAGGCCCUCGGGUCGUAAACCCCUUUUGUGAGGGAAGAAGUUCUGACGGUACCUCACGAAUAAGACGCGGCUAACUACGUGCCAGCAGCCGCGGUAAUACGUAGGUGUCGAGCGUUGUCCGGAUUUAUUGGGCGUAAAGAGCCCGCAGGCGGCUUGGUAAGUUCGAGGUGAAAUCUCCCGGCUCAACUGGGAGGGUGCCUCGAAAACUAUCAGGCUUGAGGCAGGGAGAGGGAUGUGGAAUUCCAGGUGUAGUGGUGAAAUGCGUAGAUAUCGGGAGGAACACCAGUGGCGAAGGCGGCAUCCUGGCCCUGUCCUGACGCUCAGGGGCGAAAGCGUGGGGAGCAAACC
RNAcentral lists this ribosomal RNA (404 nucleotides) under uncultured bacterium. RNAcentral's name for it is "bacterial SSU rRNA". It matches the Rfam family "Bacterial small subunit ribosomal RNA", at positions 355 to 774 of the family's 1533-position model. The record is from RNAcentral.